UACGUAGGGGGCUAGCGUUGUCCGGAAUCAUUGGGCGUAAAGAGCGUGUAGGCGGCCCGGUAAGUCCGCUGUGAAAGUCGGGGGCUCAACCCUCGAAUGCCGGUGGAUACUGUCGGGCUAGAGUGCGGAAGAGGCGAGUGGAAUUCCUGGUGUAGCGGUGAAAUGCGUAGAUAUCUGGAGGAACACCGGUGGCGAAGGCGGCAUCCUGGACCAACAUUGACGCUGAGGAGCGAAAGCCAGGGGAGCAAACGGG
RNAcentral lists this ribosomal RNA (253 nucleotides) under uncultured bacterium. RNAcentral's name for it is "partial 16S ribosomal RNA". It matches the Rfam family "Bacterial small subunit ribosomal RNA", at positions 524 to 776 of the family's 1533-position model. The record is from RNAcentral.